AUAUAUGUAUAUAUGUGUAUAUAUAUAUAUGUAUAUAUAUGUAUAUAUAUAUAUACAUACAUGUAUAUGAAACAUUUGAGCAUCCCCCAUCCAGUAAGAAAAUCUUGCCAAAGCAUCUGUUCCCUUAGCUCCCCUUAGACCUCUGUUGAUGACUUACUGGUCAGGUGUGGACUCUGUUGAUGACUUACUGGUCAGGUGUGGACUCUGUUGAUAGCUUUUAAAGUUUUUUUUUUUUUUUUUAAAGUAACCAACCCAUGAAAAGUGCUUCAGUUUGUACAUUCAUGAAAACUUCAAAAGUUUCAUAGAAAUUAAGGCAAACGAUUUCGCUUUAUCAAAGUCCUGCAUUUCAAACACAGAUAUCUAUAUUAUUUGCACAAAAUAUAUAGGCACAAAAGAUUGUUGUAACGGGAGGGGGGGGGGGCUUUUCUUUUAGUUCCGUCACUGCACGAUAUAGAUGACUCAUCCAACUUUUGUUGUCGCACUCUAGAGAAGGCAUUUGUUGGCCACCAUUGAGAGAGCUAAUGCUUGUAUUUUUGUAUUCUUGUGGUUUUCUUCAUCGAAUGUCCAUUGUGCCAUCACCGUGUUAACAUACCUGUUAAAAAUUGUUUGAUCCAUUUGUAUUUCUUCAACACAAUUAAAAUGUAAUGCUAUUUU
Long non-coding RNA from Physella acuta, 654 nucleotides. RefSeq lists it as uncharacterized. NCBI's taxonomy places the organism in Eukaryota, Metazoa, Mollusca, Gastropoda, Physidae. The record is from RefSeq and is a predicted model, not a curated record.